CUAUUUUUUUGAACAAGUGGGCGGUGUGAGUUUAUACUUCCUUUGCCUUACCACUAGAAACUGUUUAUCAUGUAAACAGGCCUUGUUUUUUAAAAGCCAAUUUUUUAAAAACAAAGAGGUAUUCGCAUUCCUCAGAAACGUUUGAGGAUGUCAUAAUAUAUGAAAAAGGUCUGUGUAAACCAUAAAAACAUGCAAGCCAGCAUCAGUAGACAUGACUGUGCAUGCUCUGAAGGAUGCAAUUAAAGGGACAGGUCACUCAAAAAUGACACUGAGUCAUUCUCAUGGUUUCCAAACCUGAAUGACUUCAGAGACUUCAAAAAGAGACUUCAGGUAGAAUAUUAUCGACUGACAGUCAGCAUUCACUUCCAUUGUAUCUUAUGCCAUUCAAUGAAAGAUGAAUGGAGACUGGGACUCAUCUCAUUUCGUGUUUCACAGCAAAAAGAAACUCAUACAGGUUUCGAACAACAUGAAGACGAGUCAAUAAUGACGACGUUCUAAUUUUUGUGCCAUCCUUCUGAAAUACACACGCGCGCGAGCGCCCAGGUGCUUCAUUUCAGGAUCACAGGCAGGGGAACCGAAACGGUCAGCAGUGCUUCCAGGAAGCGUCACCGGGGAGCACGCGCGCCGACAGACAGAGGAAUGCAGCAGCGUCCGCGACUCUCCGUCAGGCAGCCGCGAAACUAGAAGGUUCGCAGGCAGCGUGCGUGGCUCGGAGUGCGCGACGGGGUUUUUAUUUUACCGCUGUCGGCGCGAGCUGCUGCUGACGCGAUGCUUUAGCCAUGGACAGCAGGUUAAACGAGAAUCCUGCGAGAACCUUUGAUUUGGCUCUUCAGGUUGCAUGUCCAUCAUCUGAACAUGAAGAUCCGACAGUGCUGUGGAAGUUCCCUCAGGACUUUGGAGACCAGGAGGUCCUGCAGACAGUGCCUAAGUUCUGCUUUCCAUUUGAUGUUGAAAGGGUGUGCCAGACUCAGGUGGGCCAGAACUUCACAUUUGUGCUCACAGACAUUGAGAGCAAGCAGAGGUUUGGGUUCUGUCGGCUCACGUCCGGCUGCAGGGUCUGCAUCUGUUUGCUCAGCUAUCUCCCCUGGUUUGAGAUUUAUUAUAAGCUGCUAAAUACCCUUGCAGACUACUUGUCAAAACACCAGGAAGAUGACUUAAACGACAUGUUGGAAACGCUGCACAACCACCCCUUGCCAAAGCCGUAUACGGCAGUAAAUCUGAGUGUGAGCAACUACUUACAUUUUGCCAAUGGGCAAGUAGUGCAAGAUCCAGGAAGCAGACAGUCGCAUUCAUACUUCAUAGCUCCUGAUAUUAAUGGGCUCCCCACCAUACCUGAAAAUAGAAAUUUAACUGAGUACUUUGUCGCAGUGGAUGUGAACAACAUGUUGCACCUCUACGCCAGCAUGCUGCAUGAGCGACGCAUCAUCAUUACCUCAAGCAAGCUUAGCACUUUAACUGCAUGCGUGCAUGGGUCCACUGCCAUGCUCUACCCUAUGCACUGGCAACACAUCUUCAUCCCUGUACUUCCUCCUCACCUGCUGGAUUACUGCUGUGCGCCCAUGCCAUAUCUGGUCGGAGUUCAUCUCAGCCUUUUAGAGGUACGUCAAAUAAAUCUACUGUCAGCAGCCGUUCA
Molecule: long non-coding RNA, 1633 nt
Organism: Cyprinus carpio (common carp)
Lineage: Eukaryota; Metazoa; Chordata; Actinopteri; Cypriniformes; Cyprinidae
Source: Ensembl